Molecule: ribosomal RNA, 495 nt
Filed under: uncultured bacterium
Lineage: Bacteria
Description: partial 16S ribosomal RNA
Rfam family: Bacterial small subunit ribosomal RNA
Source: RNAcentral
GACGAACGCUGGCGGCGUGCCUAAUACAUACAAGUAGAACGCUGAAGGAGGAGCUUGCUUCUCCGGAUGAGUUGCGAACGGGUGAGUAACGCGUAGGUAACCUGCCUGGUAGCGGGGGAUAACUAUUGGAAACGAUAGCUAAUACCGCAUAACAGUAGAUGUUGCAUGACAUUUGCUUAAAAGGUGCAAUUGCAUCACUACCAGAUGGACCUGCGUUGUAUUAGCUAGUUGGUGAGGUAACGGCUCACCAAGGCGACGAUACAUAGCCGACCUGAGAGGGUGAUCGGCCACACUGGGACUGAGACACGGCCCAGACUCCUACGGGAGGCAGCAGUAGGGAAUCUUCGGCAAUGGACGGAAGUCUGACCGAGCAACGCCGCGUGAGUGAAGAAGGUUUUCGGAUCGUAAAGCUCUGUUGUAAGAGAAGAACGAGUGUGAGAGUGGAAAGUUCACACUGUGACGGUAUCUUACCAGAAAGGGACGGCUAACUACGUG